This 4851-nucleotide long non-coding RNA is filed under the name Nicotiana tabacum (common tobacco). Its description in RNAcentral is "long non-coding RNA (NTAB_LNC013364)". The record is from RNAcentral. Lineage: Eukaryota; Viridiplantae; Streptophyta; Magnoliopsida; Solanales; Solanaceae.
UAACUCGAAAUCACUCCUACAAGGUAUAAAACACACAAUAAGUGUAAAAACACUACCAAUUAAAGCUCAACACAAGUAAAGUGCAGUGAAUUAGAGUGUAAUAAGCAACUAAAAUACGGGAUUAUAGCCUACCAUCAUAAUACCAGGCAAGUUGAUUGUAGUGUAUACAUCCAGUGCUUACAUGAGGAACAUGUCCGCUUUCGAAGUAACGGAACGCCUCUCUGCGCGUGGAAGUAGAACCUUGUUCACCAUCUCAAACAUAAGCUGAUACUCUGGAAUGAGUGCCUUCUUGUUCCCCCGCUCCCUUCUCUGAAUAGCCUGAGCUUUUAGAAUGAUCUUUCUAAAGUUAGGGGAAUAGGUCCCUUCAAUAGAUGAGAGCCCAUCAGUGGGCACAUCCAAGAUACUUUCUACAAUAACUUCAUCCAUCACAAAAUCCACUGAAUUAACCUUCAAGAAGAUAUUGUCGUCUUUCAUAGUAAACAGAUCUGCAUAGAAACUGUGAACCUUAUCUUCAUAAACCUUGGGACUCUGAAUGGUAAACAGAUGAGUCCACUUAUGAAACUCACAGAUUGCAAACAGUUGUCUCAUGCCUGACAUUUCAAUAAUGUUAGCGUCAAACGUUCUGCCCCAUAGCACCCUUUGCUUCUUCAAAUUUUCUCUUCUCUCAACUUCAAACACUUAUACUUUGGCUUUCUUGGAGGAACCAUGUUCCGCGUUGUCACUUGCCUUCCUCUUCUUAAACUUCUUCACACUUUUCUCCUUAUUUUUAGACUUGCUUUUCUCACCAGACUCCUUUUCUUCGACAAUCUUCUCUUUAUCAAUCUCCACCCCUUUCACAGACGAUCCUCUCUUAGGCUUUGCAAGCACAGAAUUCUUAGAGGAUUUACGAAUCAAGUAAGCAGGUUCCUCAUUCACCUCUUCAUUUUCAACAUUCACAAUGUUUUCUAGAGGCACAUCCUCUUCAUUUACUAACUCUCCCCCUUUCACCAACCUUCUUUUUUCUUUUUCUCUUUGUUUCUCUUUAAAGCACUCUCAAGAGAUUCUUUCUUCUGCUGCCUAGUAGUGGGUCUUUUAAGAACGGGCUCUUUGAGAACUGCCCUACCACUUCUAGCAGCAAUAAAACUUGCCACAGUCACAUCAUCAUAGUCCUCAUCACUGUAAUCAUUCUUUUCUUCAGACAAAGGUCUCAUCUCAGGAAUUACAAAGUCUAAUGGCACUGCGUAAAAGUGAGGAGAAGGAAAAGGGUCAGUAUUGUCCAGAGGCUCUUUUUUAGAGCAUAAGGUUUCAUCCCAAGUAGGAGCAGAGUGCUCUUCUGGGACAGAGAGAGCAGGUCCCUCUGGUGCUCCCAUGUAGUACUAAUUGGCACCAAGUUACCAUGAGGCACCAGUUCCCCAAUUCCAACUCCAUUUCCUUCUCCUUCCCUUUGAGACCCAGCGGUCAAAUCACCACACUCAUACUCCCCAACCAACCCUCCUUUGGUAGCAAUAAGUAGCAUAGUUUCUACAGCUUCCCUCUCACUCACACCCAAUAGUGUAGAAUCAGCAUAUACAAGAGAGGCAUUACCUGAUGGAGAGGCAACAUUCAGAUCAAACGUCGGAGCAAGAUGAGUGAUAUGCACUUUUGAUGUUUCACUACUACCUGCAACAUCCUCUUGGGCUACAAUGACCUCCCCAACUUGCUGACUUGAAACCUCUGGUCCCUCUUCUCCGUCUAUUAUUUUGUCUUUUGCCAUUUUUCCCGACGAAGCAGAGGGAGAAGUUGAGGGUGACAAACCAUUUGGGUGUUUGAUUUUUCCAGCUACUGUAAGGCCUCGUGAAUAUUUAGACAUUAUAUACGCCGAUUACUACCCUAAUGGCAUGAAUGAGAUAUGUUUAUUAUCAUGAUCGUAGUAUGUGGUAUUUGUCCAAGGGUAUAUCACCGAAUAGUAAAUUUUAGAUCAAUGUCCAUGGAGAGUAUAUGUGGCAAAUUUAAUGAAUAUGAUUAGACUUACAUUAUAUUAAAAAGAAGAAUGAAAGUCAUAUUUCCCUAAGUUCCAUUGGCAGCAAAUUUAAUCAUCUGUUGGUUGCCUUUCUAAAAUAGUUUAUGGCCACUUUUACUAAGAUGUGAAUUUAUGUAAUAACUACUUGGGCCACUAGCUAAGGGAUCAAAUUAAAGAGAAUGACAUAUGUUAAUAAACUCCUUGGUCCAAACCCAUGGGUCACGUGACUAGCAACCCCAAUAAGUGUAGGCAAUUGAAAAAAGGGAGAAAAGAAAGAAACCUUUUUCUAAGGAUUGGAAACAAAAGCUUAAGGAGAACGGCGUACAGCUUCUGUCGAGUUACACAGGUAACAUCUCCGUGUUGACACAGUGCACUAGGUUUUAUUCUUUAUUAGUUCUUCCUCCCUUGUUCUUUAUUACCAAGUAUAUAUGGAGAUAAAUAUUCUAGUUAUAGACAAGAGUUAAGGUAUAAGUGUGUAUUUGGGGAAAUUUUGAAAUAAUGAACUGAUAAGAUUGAGAUGAAUUAACUCUUCUACCAAGAAAUAAAUGACAUCCACAAUACAUUAGGAAAAAAACUGUUAGAAAAACUAAGGUAUUUGGUCAUGAUCUCUUGUACGGGUGGUCUUAGGAUAUUUUUGAGGAAUUUGCUAAAGCACUAAACCUUGUUGAGAAAAAAUAUAUAUAUUUAUAUGAUGGACACAGAAGUAAAGAAUUUUAAUUGGUAUGAUUUUCCUUGUUAGGCAAUGUAAGAUGUUUUGAACCAGUUAAGGUUCUUUUGUCCCCUGCCCGUGAAAGAUUUUUCCUUAGCUCACUAAUUAUUCUAUUUAUCGGUAUCGUGAUCGUGACGGUUUCGAAAUUGAAUUGCCGGUCAUCUUGAACUUAUGAUUGGACCGAAAGUCAAAUUGAGGUGAGUUGAGGUUUACUUUCCUAGUAGGGAACUAGGAAUUUCAUUAGAACCCUUGUGCUCCAUAUGUUAGAUAAAGCUAAGUCAUGUCUUUUCAUGAUCCAAUACUUAGUUCACUUAUUCUUAUUCAGUACGACAUUACAUGUGACAUGAAUACACGCUUAUGUGUAUUACCAAUUGUUAGGUGCCUUUAUUUGUGAUAUUCACGUUUAGUUAAGUAUUCAGUUUCAACAUUAAUUCACUACAACAUUAUGCAUAUGCAGUUAUGAAAUACAUUGUAACUAAAUAUGAAAAUUUAUGUGGCUAAACACUUUAGCUACCAUAUUUUUUUCCGUAGCAUUCAUAGUAAGAUGUAGCGUAACUAAAAGUUAGCAACAAACUUUACAUGGUCUGUGGCUAAGAACUAAUACUUAUUGCUAUGAAAUUUUUCUGAGUUGUAGCUGUGAUAGUAAAAAGAAUUUGCCACAAAAAUAUACUUAUAGCAAGUGAUUUUAUUCCUUUGCCACGAACGGACAAAACUUAUAGCUAUCUUCAUAUUGUAGCCACAAGGUGUUGCAUCGUAGCAAGAGAUUGAAUUUGUUUGCCACACAAACUAAAAUUUUGUGGCUAUUUCUAUAGCCUGGUCUCGUGGCAAUAGUACUCGUAUUUAACUAUGAAAAAAAUAAUCUAUAGCUAUAAGUUGAAGUAUUUGCCAUAACCAUUUUUAUAUUGUAGCUAAGAAUCAAUACCUUUAGCUAUGAAAUAUAUAACAUUAUAGCUAAAAUUUUCAUUUGCUAUAAAAAGAGCAAAUGUAUAGCCAUAUCCUUUUAACAUGGCAAUUAUAUAUACAUUUAGCUGCGAAUUCAAAAACUCAUUGCUACAGACUUACUGACAAACACUUCUGACCUAAAAAGAAUGAAGAAAGUAACUCGUGAGUCAUGUAAAGCUCCCACAUAUCAUGUAAUAUAUCUUUUCUUUCAAAACCAACUUUAAUUGAAAAAAUUAUACUAAGCAACAAGGUUCAAACCACCGAAUAUGAAUUAAAUGAGCUAUUGAUAUAAAGUCAUAGUAUUGUAUAAUUGUAAAAUUUUACAUAUCGAUCUCAUAAAGGCAACAUAGAACAACAAUUAAUCUGAAGCAAGGAAGUGAUCGAAAAAAUGCUUUCAGAUUAGCAAAAGCGGAACUAGGUUCAGAAAAUCAAAGUAAACACACGCAUAUAGAAGUUUUCGAUUAACGAUGGUGCAGAAAACCACAAAUACGAUCUUAGAACACAUACCAAAUGGAAAGUAAUUGUCAUACCUAAUUUCAAACACCUAUUGUGCAAGGCAUAGGAUACUGACUUAAAUAUACAUAUUCACAUUAUAAACAAGUACAACCAACUAAUUGGGACAAGAAAUAAAAGGAAAGAUUCGACCUCAAUAGCACGAAACACAGCAAUGGAGUGCACAGCUGAAACUGCAGCAAGAUUUCCUAGAAGUGUGACAAUAAAGGUUGAGAAUUCAAACGCAUCCCAAAAUUACAGCAAUGGCAAAGGCAAAAUAAAUAAAUAAAAAUUAGAUGCUCGGAUUUGUAUUCUUGCUAAGGCAGAGAAAACCCAGCCACGCCCAUGGCUCCAAUUGGUUGCAUCGACAUCGCCGGUCGCCGAUCCAUGUUGCCAUGCCAAGAAACGAAUCCCAUGAUCUAAGAACAAGAAAAAGUGAUUAACUGUAAAUUAAGAUUAAAAUCUGUAAAAAUAAAUAAAAUAACAAAUUUUGGAAGAUUGAAAUUGGGGAUUGAGAGAGAGGAAGAAGAUGGAACCUUUGCUUCCAGAGUAAUACAAGACUUUGCUCGUUAGAUUUUGGCCUCUUUAGUGUUUUAGGGUUUUGGCUCUCUAAUCUUGCAUUAGUUUUUGCUCUCUUUUUUUUUUUUUGGUAAAUAAGUUUUCUAUUUAUGUGAAUACUCUGUACAAGUAUGUCAUCCUUCUAAAGUUGGACAUGCAACCCCAACUUUAG